RNAcentral lists this long non-coding RNA (2240 nucleotides) under Homo sapiens (human). RNAcentral describes it as "HSALNT0378365". The record is from RNAcentral. Lineage: Eukaryota; Metazoa; Chordata; Mammalia; Primates; Hominidae.
UGCCCAACUCGGCCUCCCAAAGUGUUGGGAUUACAGGUGUGAGCCACCUCACCCAGCUUCGUUCCAUCUCUUAUACUUAAACAGUUGCCUCUUAUUUCCUGCCUCAGCCCUUUUGGGGUUUCUACAGCUGAUUCUACUAAUGGCUUCCAUCGACCAGUGCAGGCUUUUCUCAUUUCUUCACUCAUAUCUUGUAGAAUUUCCUUUCUGGGGUCUGUGGUCUUGUCAUUAUCAUAUUCUCAGAUACUGGAUUCUUAUGUUGGGUUCUUGUGUUUCUUUUAUGUACUUAUUUAUAUAUGCUUUCCUUGGUGGGCUCUGGUGCCUUUUAGGCUAACUAACUGAAAAACAAUGUAUCCACAAAAUUAAAAUGCACUUUUCCAGUCCAAUUGACCCAAACAGAAUUAUACCACCAAAUUAGUUUUACUAGUUUUCUGUUUUUUUCAGUGAUAUCCAGGGUCCUGUCUUAAGCCUUAGCUCUUGGUGGUUCACUUACCCCAUGUUACAGUUUUGUUACUGCAUUAUAAGUAUCCCCAAAUCUCAGUGGCUUAAAACAACAACCAUUUUAUUAUAUUUCAUGAGUUUCUGGGUUAGGAGAUUAGGUAGGGCUUGGCUGGGCAAUUCUUCUUCUCCACGUGGUCUUGACUUGGUAUUUAGCUGGCAGCUGAGCUAGCCUGGUGGGUCUAAGGUAGCAUGAUUUAGUUGCCAGGCACAUUGCCAGAGAUGGCUGCCUGGCUGAAUGGCUGGGCUGGGCCCCUUCCUUCUCCAUGUCAUCUAUAACCUUCCCACAUGAUAUCUUUAGAGGAGUAGAUAGAUUUCCUACAUGGCAGCUUGGGGCUCCAAGAAUAAAAGUCUUCUCAGAGUCAGGAAGUAAAAGCUACCAGUCUCUUAAGGCUAAGACCUGGAACUGAGACAUCAUUUGUGCUGCAUCCUAUCAGUUAAAGUAGUCAAAGAGCCUGCCCACAUUCAAGAGGAAAAAACAUAGGCCCCUCUCCGUAAAGGGAGGUAUCUCAAAUAAUUUGUGGCCAUCUUUAAUCCACCAUAUCCCAGCAAAGUUCUAUUCUUUGACAGCAGGCUUUUUAGGUAGCGUCACAUUUUCAGCAACUAUUGCUACUGCGUGCCUGUCUUCUGCAUAUUUCCUGGUUGCCUAGAUUACGAUGUCAUGAGGAACUGAUUAGGCCCUUUGCAACUGUGUCUUACAUGAGCCACUGUAGCUCAGUCCCAUCCCUUAGCUUGUUCCUCUCCUGCCCAAUCAGAAAGUUAUGUUUUACACCCAAGCCAGCUUCCGUUGUGACAUCACACAUAAAAUGUGCGUAAAAUGCUUACAUCAAUUGCAUUGGCUCCUAGAAUUCAGAAAUUGCAGUGACUUAAACAAGAGAGUCAUUUGUUUCUCUCUCACAUAAAAGGAAUUUGAAAGAACAGAGUCAAGAUCAGAUAAUAAAGCUCAGAGAGGAUAGCCACUUCCUCAAGGACACAGACCUUUGCUUAUCUUCAGUGUUGCAGAUGUUGUAAAGGGUGAACACUGUACCAUUUAAAGGCUGAGAGAUUAGAGAGAGAAGACCACUCGGAGUCAGAAUUACUAAUGUGCUUUCAGUCUCCUGCCACUUAGUAGAUGAAGAGACAAUAAGAAACGUUACACUUGGCAUCCUUUUGCACUAGGAAUUGUGCCAAAACAUGCCACUAAGGCAUUAUUCCAUUUUCAAGUACGUGCACGCCAUAUUCAGUCAUGAAGAUCAUAGUAACUCAUGAGUAACUCCUAGUAAUUCUUCAUCACUAACGAUGUAAAGAGGAGACAACUAGAGAAAUGGGCAUGUUACGAGAAAAUAAAGAUGAAAGAAAAAGAGUACUUCUCUCUCUAUUGCCUCCAAAUCUCAGGGAUUCACCAAGACAAAACUUGUUAAAAUUAAACAAGCUAAACAUAAACAACUACUUUCAAAUGUUUAUUUAUAUUCCAUAAGACAAAUUGGCUUACUUUGAUGACCCACUCCAGGAAGCUUCACUUGAUAACCUGGCAAUAUCAGUAACAUUCUUAGAUUCUAAUUAUGAGAGCUUGUUUGAAAGUUCUAGCAGGGAAGCGGAGCUACUUGUAUACCCUUGAGUGAACACCAGCCCUCCUCUGUCAGGGAUGGUCAUCCUCUUCAACCAAACAUGCAGCUUUGAGAGGCAUGCACAUGGAGAGGUGAGGAAGGAAGGGAACACUUGCCUAACCAGCCAGAUCAGCUGAAUCAACCCUGGAGAUCAAUGAG